This 771-nucleotide ribosomal RNA is filed under the name uncultured Vagococcus sp. Its description in RNAcentral is "bacterial SSU rRNA". It matches the Rfam family "Bacterial small subunit ribosomal RNA", at positions 28 to 776 of the family's 1533-position model. Lineage: Bacteria; Bacillati; Bacillota; Bacilli; Lactobacillales; Enterococcaceae. The record is from RNAcentral.
GAUGAACGCUGGCGGCGUGCCUAAUACACGCAAGUCGAACGCACGAAGUUGAAGAGCUUGCUCUUUAACCAAGUGGGUGGCGGACGGGUGAGUAACACGUGGGUAACCUACCCAUUAGAGGGGGAUAACAUUCGGAAACGGAUGCUAAUACCGCAUAGUUUCAGGAAUCGCAUGAUUCGUGAAGGAAAGGUGGCUUCGGCUACCACUAAUGGAUGGACCCGCGGCGUAUUAGCUAGUUGGUGAGGUAAUGGCUCACCAAGGCAAUGAUACGUAGCCGACCUGAGAGGGUGAUCGGCCACACUGGGACUGAGACACGGCCCAGACUCCUACGGGAGGCAGCAGUAGGGAAUCUUCCGCAAUGGGCGAAAGUCUGACGGAGCAACGCCGCGUGAGUGAAGAAGGUUUUCGGAUCGUAAAACUCUGUUGUUAAAGAAGAACAAGGAUGAGAGUAACUGCUCAUCCCCUGACGGUAUUUAACCAGAAAGCCACGGCUAACUACGUGCCAGCAGCCGCGGUAAUACGUAGGUGGCAAGCGUUGUCCGGAUUUAUUGGGCGUAAAGCGAGCGCAGGCGGUUCUUUAAGUCUGAUGUGAAAGCCCCCGGCUCAACCGGGGAGGGUCAUUGGAAACUGGAGAACUUGAGUGCAGAAGAGGAGAGUGGAAUUCCACGUGUAGCGGUGAAAUGCGUAGAUAUGUGGAGGAACACCAGUGGCGAAGGCGACUCUCUGGUCUGUAACUGACGCUGAGGCUCGAAAGCGUGGGGAGCAAACAGG